UACGGGGGGGGCAAGCGUUGUUCGGAAUUACUGGGCGUAAAGGGCUCGUAGGCGGCCAACUAAGUCAGACGUGAAAUCCCCAGGCUUAACCUGGGAACUGCGUCUGAUACUGGAUGGCUUGAAUUCGGGAGAGGGAUGCAGAAUUCCAGGUGUAGCGGUGAAAUGCGUAGAUAUCUGGAGGAAUACCGGUGGCGAAGGCAGCCCCCUGGGUCGAUACUGACGCUCAUGCACGAAAGCGUGGGGAGCAAACAGG
This 253-nucleotide ribosomal RNA is filed under the name uncultured bacterium. Its description in RNAcentral is "partial 16S ribosomal RNA". It matches the Rfam family "Bacterial small subunit ribosomal RNA", at positions 524 to 776 of the family's 1533-position model. The record is from RNAcentral.